This 692-nucleotide ribosomal RNA is filed under the name Bacillus sp. (in: firmicutes). Its description in RNAcentral is "bacterial SSU rRNA". It matches the Rfam family "Bacterial small subunit ribosomal RNA", at positions 63 to 742 of the family's 1533-position model. The record is from RNAcentral. Lineage: Bacteria; Bacillati; Bacillota; Bacilli; Caryophanales; Bacillaceae.
CGGACUGAUGGGAGCUUGCUCCCUGAAGUCAGCGGCGGACGGGUGAGUAACACGUGGGCAACCUGCCUGUAAGACUGGGAUAACUCCGGGAAACCGGGGCUAAUACCGGAUAAUUCUUUCCCUCACAUGAGGGAAAGCUGAAAGAUGGUUUCGGCUAUCACUUACAGAUGGGCCCGCGGCGCAUUAGCUAGUUGGUGAGGUAACGGCUCACCAAGGCGACGAUGCGUAGCCGACCUGAGAGGGUGAUCGGCCACACUGGGACUGAGACACGGCCCAGACUCCUACGGGAGGCAGCAGUAGGGAAUCUUCCGCAAUGGACGAAAGUCUGACGGAGCAACGCCGCGUGAGUGAUGAAGGUUUUCGGAUCGUAAAACUCUGUUGUUAGGGAAGAACAAGUACCGGAGUAACUGCCGGUACCUUGACGGUACCUAACCAGAAAGCCACGGCUAACUACGUGCCAGCAGCCGCGGUAAUACGUAGGUGGCAAGCGUUGUCCGGAAUUAUUGGGCGUAAAGCGCGCGCAGGCGGUUCCUUAAGUCUGAUGUGAAAGCCCCCGGCUCAACCGGGGAGGGUCAUUGGAAACUGGGGAACUUGAGUGCAGAAGAGAAGAGUGGAAUUCCACGUGUAGCGGUGAAAUGCGUAGAGAUGUGGAGGAACACCAGUGGCGAAGGCGACUCUUUGGUCUGUAACUG